Molecule: unclassified non-coding RNA, 166 nt
Filed under: soil metagenome
Description: partial contains 5.8S ribosomal RNA, internal transcribed spacer 2, and large subunit ribosomal RNA
Source: RNAcentral
AACGCACGAGACCUGCGGACCUGCGGAAGGAUCAUUAGUGAACGCCCUCACGGGCUUAUAACUACUCCAAACCUCUGUGAACCGUGCCCUUCGGGGCUAUUUUACAAACAUGGUGUAAUGAACGUCAUAUAUCAUAACAAAACAAAACUUUCAACAAUGGAUCUCU